This 24-nucleotide non-coding RNA is filed under the name Cricetulus griseus (Chinese hamster). Lineage: Eukaryota; Metazoa; Chordata; Mammalia; Rodentia; Cricetidae. The record is from RNAcentral.
UUUAUUUUUUGGUGGGACUAGCAU